Molecule: long non-coding RNA, 656 nt
Organism: Sus scrofa (pig)
Lineage: Eukaryota; Metazoa; Chordata; Mammalia; Artiodactyla; Suidae
Source: RefSeq, a predicted model, not a curated record
UAUUAUUAUCUCCACUUUGGAGGCCUGAACCUGAAACAGAGGUGAGCAUGCGCUCAGGCAGUGGUGGAGCUAGCAGCCAGCCCUGAGCAGCCUGACUCCAGCAUCCACAGCAGUGCCCUGCUUCUGCUCUGGGAACUGUGACAUGGAGCCUGUGGCCGCUAUCCUUCUCUUCAGCUUCAGUUACAGCCAAGAAAACAGAAAUUGAACUGAACAUUAUGAUGAAGAGAAUAAAGAAGGGUGAAGAAAAGGCUGGAGGUGGUACAUUCAAAAGUCUCCAAGUCCAAGAAAAGGCUGGACCUGAAGAUGGAAAGUCUGCUGACCAAGAAAGGAGUGUUGCUCAGUUCAAGUUCGGCCCAUGUUUGCCAAGCUUCCAGGCACUGCUGCUGUUCCAUGUCUUUUGAUUCUGUCGCUCAAAGAGGCCUGACUCAUAGAACUCAGGACUACAGACCCUGCGACAAAUUAGACGGCCACAAAGCAGACCAGCCCCGUUUGGACUUUUUCUUUCUUUUUAAAGGAUAGGGGUUAGGUCCUUAUGAAUGAGUAUUCAACUCUUUUACUGUAUUCAGCCUUGUUCCAUAGUGAGUUAAUUUGGGCUUUUGUAUCCUGAAAUAUUAUCCUGCCUCUAAAAGAAUAAAUGCCUUGGCUGUUUCACACCA